GACGAAGGUGGCGAGCGUUGUUCGGAAUCACUGGGCCUAAAGCGCACGUAGGCGGUGUCGUAAGUCGGGUGUGAAAUCCCUCGGCCCAACCGAGGAACUGCGCCCAGUACUGCGUUGCUUGAGGAUCCAAGGGGUGCAUGGAAUUCCCGGUGGAGCGGUGAAAUGCGUUGAUAUCGGGAGGAACUCCGGCGGCGAAAGCGGUGCACUGGUGGAUUACUGACGCUGAGGCGCGAAAGCUAGGGGAGCAAACGGG
Molecule: ribosomal RNA, 253 nt
Filed under: uncultured bacterium
Lineage: Bacteria
Description: partial 16S ribosomal RNA
Rfam family: Bacterial small subunit ribosomal RNA
Source: RNAcentral